UAAUGUAAUUUAAUGUAAUGUACUAUUAUGUCCACCACCACCUGGCAUUUUCAUGUGAAGUAGAAGUAAAUAAGUUCUAUAUAAUUGAGAAACACAUAGAGUGUUACUUAGUUCCAGAAAGGUACGAUGGGAGGUCAGAAGCAAGAAUGGAAAGAAAAGGAGGAAGGCAGGUUCAGUAAAAGGGCACCUAUCUACUGUUGCGUUAUGUGUCAUAUGUUCUGCACACUCAUUAAAAAUAAUGAGAACAUAUUUAAAAGUCAUUGCCCAGAGAAUCUUUGGGGACAGGGCAGGAGAAGAA
Molecule: long non-coding RNA, 298 nt
Filed under: Homo sapiens (human)
Lineage: Eukaryota; Metazoa; Chordata; Mammalia; Primates; Hominidae
Description: HSALNT0046150
Source: RNAcentral